Molecule: transfer RNA, 76 nt
Filed under: Gellertiella hungarica
Lineage: Bacteria; Pseudomonadati; Pseudomonadota; Alphaproteobacteria; Hyphomicrobiales; Rhizobiaceae
Description: tRNA-Thr
Rfam family: tRNA
About the family: Transfer RNA (tRNA) molecules are approximately 80 nucleotides in length. Their secondary structure includes four short double-helical elements and three loops (D, anti-codon, and T loops). Further hydrogen bonds mediate the characteristic L-shaped molecular structure. tRNAs have two regions of fundamental functional importance: the anti-codon, which is responsible for specific mRNA codon recognition, and the 3' end, to which the tRNAs corresponding amino acid is attached (by aminoacyl-tRNA synthetases). tRNAs cope with the degeneracy of the genetic code in two manners: having more than one tRNA (with a specific anti-codon) for a particular amino acid; and 'wobble' base-pairing, i.e. permitting non-standard base-pairing at the 3rd anti-codon position.
Source: RNAcentral
GCCAGCAUAGCUCAGUAGGUAGAGCGCCUGCCUUGUAAGCAGGAUGCCGUGGGUUCAAUUCCUGCUGCUGGCACCA